This 337-nucleotide unclassified non-coding RNA is filed under the name soil metagenome. RNAcentral describes it as "partial contains 5.8S ribosomal RNA, internal transcribed spacer 2, and large subunit ribosomal RNA". The stretch from base 1 to 119 matches the Rfam family "5.8S ribosomal RNA", at positions 35 to 154 of the family's 154-position model. The record is from RNAcentral.
GAUGAAGACGUAGCGAAAUGCGAUAAGUAGUGUGAAUUGCAGAAUUCAGUGAAUCAUCGAAUCUUUGAACGCACAUUGCGCCCUUUGGUAUUCCAAAGGGCAUGCCUGUUCGAGCGUCAUUUGUACCCUCAAGCUUUGCUUGGUGUUGGGCGUCUUGUCUCCAGUUCGCUGGAGACUCGCCUUAAAGUAAUUGGCAGCCGGCCUACUGGUUUCGGAGCGCAGCACAAGUCGCGCUCUCUUCCAGCCAAGGUCAGCAUCCACAAAGCCUUUUUUCAACUUUUGACCUCGGAUCAGGUAGGGAUACCCGCUGAACUUAAGCAUAUCAAUAAGCGGAGGA